GGUCGGGUCCGUCGGACGGACGGCUCGCCAACCUGGUCAGGGCUUGACGGCAGCAGCCAUACGCGUCGUCGUUCGGGCCGUCGAUCGCCUGGCCGUC
This 97-nucleotide signal recognition particle RNA is filed under the name Phycisphaeraceae bacterium. Its description in RNAcentral is "signal recognition particle sRNA small type". It matches the Rfam family "Bacterial small signal recognition particle RNA". From Rfam's summary of the family: The signal recognition particle (SRP) is a universally conserved ribonucleoprotein involved in the co-translational targeting of proteins to membranes. Archaeal SRP consists of a 7S RNA and homologues of the eukaryotic SRP19 and SRP54 proteins. In most bacteria, the SRP consists of a 4.5S RNA and the Ffh protein (a homologue of the eukaryotic SRP54 protein). The record is from RNAcentral. RNAcentral also lists the same sequence under 5 other names. Lineage: Bacteria; Pseudomonadati; Planctomycetota; Phycisphaerae; Phycisphaerales; Phycisphaeraceae.